This 541-nucleotide ribosomal RNA is filed under the name uncultured Penicillium. RNAcentral describes it as "eukaryotic LSU rRNA". The stretch from base 182 to 334 matches the Rfam family "5.8S ribosomal RNA". The record is from RNAcentral. Lineage: Eukaryota; Fungi; Ascomycota; Eurotiomycetes; Eurotiales; Aspergillaceae.
CAUUACCGAGUGAGGGCCCUCUGGGUCCAACCUCCCACCCGUGUUUAUUUUACCUUGUUGCUUCGGCGGGCCCGCCUUAACUGGCCGCCGGGGGGCUUACGCCCCCGGGCCCGCGCCCGCCGAAGACACCCUCGAACUCUGUCUGAAGAUUGAAGUCUGAGUGAAAAUAUAAAUUAUUUAAAACUUUCAACAACGGAUCUCUUGGUUCCGGCAUCGAUGAAGAACGCAGCGAAAUGCGAUACGUAAUGUGAAUUGCAAAUUCAGUGAAUCAUCGAGUCUUUGAACGCACAUUGCGCCCCCUGGUAUUCCGGGGGGCAUGCCUGUCCGAGCGUCAUUGCUGCCCUCAAGCCCGGCUUGUGUGUUGGGCCCCGUCCCCCGAUCUCCGGGGGACGGGCCCGAAAGGCAGCGGCGGCACCGCGUCCGGUCCUCGAGCGUAUGGGGCUUUGUCACCCGCUCUGUAGGCCCGGCCGGCGCUUGCCGAUCAACCCAAAUUUUUAUCCAGGUUGACCUCGGAUCAGGUAGGGAUACCCGCUGAACUUAA